RNAcentral lists this ribosomal RNA (497 nucleotides) under uncultured bacterium. Its description in RNAcentral is "partial 16S ribosomal RNA". It matches the Rfam family "Bacterial small subunit ribosomal RNA", at positions 28 to 507 of the family's 1533-position model. The record is from RNAcentral.
GACGAACGCUGGCGGCGUGCCUAAUACAUGCAAGUUGAGCGCUGAAGGUUGGUACUUGUACCAACUGGAUGAGCAGCGAACGGGUGAGUAACGCGUGGGGAAUCUGCCUUUGAGCGGGGGACAACAUUUGGAAACGAAUGCUAAUACCGCAUAAAAACUUUAAACACAAGUUUUAAGUUUGAAAGAUGCAAUUGCAUCACUCAAAGAUGAUCCCGCGUUGUAUUAGCUAGUUGGUGAGGUAAAGGCUCACCAAGGCGAUGAUACAUAGCCGACCUGAGAGGGUGAACGGCCACAAUGGGACUGGGAAAAGGCCCAAAAUUCUAAGGGAGGCAGCAGGAGGGAAACUUCGGCAAAGGACGAAAGGCUGACCGAGCAACGCCGCGGGAGUGAAGAAGGUUUUCGGAUCGGAAAACUCUGUUUGUAGAGAAGAAAGUUGGGGAGAGUGGAAAGCUCAUCAAGUGACGGUAACUACACAGAAAGGGACGGCUAACUACGUG